GGUUGACCUCGGAUCAGGAGGGA
This 23-nucleotide ribosomal RNA is filed under the name fungal endophyte sp. AP442. Its description in RNAcentral is "partial 28S ribosomal RNA". The record is from RNAcentral. Lineage: Eukaryota; Fungi.